UUUUUUUUUUUUUUUUUUUUUUUUUUGUAUGUGAUGUGGCAAAGAAGACGGAAAA
RNAcentral lists this non-coding RNA (55 nucleotides) under Stygamoeba regulata. The record is from RNAcentral. Lineage: Eukaryota; Discosea; Stygamoebida.